RNAcentral lists this ribosomal RNA (253 nucleotides) under uncultured bacterium. RNAcentral describes it as "partial 16S ribosomal RNA". It matches the Rfam family "Bacterial small subunit ribosomal RNA", at positions 524 to 776 of the family's 1533-position model. The record is from RNAcentral.
UACGGAGGAUCCAAGCGUUAUCCGGAUUUAUUGGGUUUAAAGGGUGCGUAGGCGGAUUGAUAAGUUAGAGGUGAAAUGUCCGAGCUCAACUCGGGAACUGCCUCUAAUACUGUUGAUCUAGAGAGUAGAUGCGGUAGGCGGAAUGUAUGGUGUAGCGGUGAAAUGCUUAGAGAUCAUACAGAACACCGAUUGCGAAGGCAGCUUACCAAUCUAUAUCUGACGUCGAGGCACGAAAGCGUGGGGAGCAAACAGG